UUGCCAGCGGUCCGGCCGGGAACUCAAAGGAGACUGCCAGUGAUAAACUGGAGGAAGGUGGGAUGACGUCAAGUCAUCAUGGCCCUUACGACCAGGGCUACACACGUGCUACAAUGGCGCAUACAAAGAGAAGCGACCUCGCGAGAGCAAGCGGACCUCAUAAAGUGCGUCGUAGUCCGGAUUGGAGUCUGCAACUCGACUCCAUGAAGUCGGAAUCGCUAGUAAUCGUGGAUCAGAAUGCCACGGUGAAUACGUUCCCGGGCCUU
RNAcentral lists this ribosomal RNA (266 nucleotides) under uncultured Enterobacteriaceae bacterium. RNAcentral describes it as "partial 16S ribosomal RNA". It matches the Rfam family "Bacterial small subunit ribosomal RNA", at positions 1115 to 1382 of the family's 1533-position model. The record is from RNAcentral. Lineage: Bacteria; Pseudomonadati; Pseudomonadota; Gammaproteobacteria; Enterobacterales; Enterobacteriaceae.